AGUAAAAGUCGUAACAAGGUUUCCGUAGGUGAACCUGCGGAAGGAUCAUUAAAGAGUAAGGGUGCUCAGCGCCCGACCUCCAACCCUUUGUUGUUAAAACUACCUUGUUGCUUUGGCGGGACCGCUCGGUCUCGAGCCGCUGGGGAUUCGUCCCAGGCGAGCGCCCGCCAGAGUUAAACCAAACUCUUGUUAUUUAACCGGUCGUCUGAGUUAAAAUUUUGAAUAAAUCAAAACUUUCGACAACGGAUCUCUUGGUUCUCGCAUCGAUGAAGAACGCAGCGAAAUGCGAUAAGUAAUGUGAAUUGCAGAAUUCAGUGAAUCAUCGAAUCUUUGAACGCACAUUGCGCCCCUUGGUAUUCCGAGGGGCAUGCCUGUUCGAGCGUCAUUACACCACUCAAGCUAUGCUUGGUAUUGGGCGUCGUCCUUAGUUGGGCGCGCCUUAAAGACCCCGGCGAGGCCACUCCGGCUUUAGGCGUAGUAGAAUUUAUUCGAACGUCUGUCAAAGGAGAGGAACUCUGCCGACUGAAACCUUUAUUUUUCUAGGUUGACCUCGGAUCAGGUAGGGAUACCCGCUGAACUUAAGCAUAUCAAUAAGCGGAGGA
This 602-nucleotide ribosomal RNA is filed under the name uncultured fungus. RNAcentral's name for it is "eukaryotic LSU rRNA". The stretch from base 232 to 385 matches the Rfam family "5.8S ribosomal RNA". The record is from RNAcentral. Lineage: Eukaryota; Fungi.